RNAcentral lists this transfer RNA (82 nucleotides) under Candidatus Abzuiibacterium crystallinum. Its description in RNAcentral is "Candidatus Omnitrophica bacterium CG11_big_fil_rev_8_21_14_0_20_45_26 tRNA-Leu". It matches the Rfam family "tRNA". Rfam says of the family: Transfer RNA (tRNA) molecules are approximately 80 nucleotides in length. Their secondary structure includes four short double-helical elements and three loops (D, anti-codon, and T loops). Lineage: Bacteria; Pseudomonadati; Candidatus Omnitrophota. The record is from RNAcentral. RNAcentral also lists the same sequence under 1 other name.
GCGAUAGUGGCGGAAUUGGCAGACGCGCACGAUUCAGGGUCGUGUGGGUAACACCGUGGGGGUUCAAGUCCCUCCUAUCGCA